Myodes glareolus (Bank vole) is the source of this 812-nucleotide non-coding RNA. NCBI's taxonomy places the organism in Eukaryota, Metazoa, Chordata, Mammalia, Rodentia, Cricetidae. The record is from RefSeq and is a predicted model, not a curated record.
GUCAUUCAGAUGCAGGCAAGCGGCUCGCUUGUGCCUUGUCUGCUUAUAGAACAAAAGCGUGCAGCACAUUCAAGCAUCCCUGAACCCCUAGGGAAAGGCUGUCAGUGGUCACAGCACAUGAAUAUCAAAGAAUCCUCCCUCUGCAGGUGGACUGUCACAGUGCGGUCUCAUCUCCUGGACUUCCGGUUGGCCUUUGAAGCUGAUGGCUACAAAGACGUGGAUGAAUUUGAAAAACGCUUUCCACUACAGAAGUUACCCCACUCCCAGUGUGUCCAUCAUUUCUCUGGAAGGAUCUGAGAGUGGCUGAGAUCCUGAAGGCCAAAAGCAAAGAGACCUGACUGACACUGUCCAGGAACCCACCUGAAAUAAUGGAUCCUUCGGAGACACCAGAAGCCCUUUCCAUUUCAGUUUCAGUUUUAAAUUGUUACACUGUCCACCAAUCUGCUGAUAAAACACAAUAAUGUGAUUUAUCUCUGAGAACAGUAGCAACAUCUCAACAAAUUGGAUUUGCUUUAUCUUCUUGUUUAAAAAAAAAUGUUGUUCAGGGUUUUCUUUGAAGAUGUCCUUUUCAAAACAUUGUCCUCCUGAUAACUUGAGAUGACUUUGAGGGGGAGAAAGCGAGAGGGAAAGAGAAUUUAACUUACAUUCCCUACCCCUUCUGAUGCUGAGAAAGACAUGUCUACCCCACCCUCUCCCUAGAACCUUGCUGAGCUGCCUCUACCCCUUUCCCCUUUGUUUCUAUACUAAGUACAGAUCUAGUUUCUAGAGGGGUAGCCCUGAUAUCAAAUGAUUAGGCACUCCUCUUCCCUCCU